Molecule: ribosomal RNA, 595 nt
Filed under: uncultured bacterium
Lineage: Bacteria
Description: bacterial SSU rRNA
Rfam family: Bacterial small subunit ribosomal RNA
Source: RNAcentral
GGCUACACAUGCAGUCGAACGGUAACAGGAAGCAGCUUGCUGCUUCGCUGACGAGUGGCGGACGGGUGAGUAAUGUCUGGGAAACUGCCUGAUGGAGGGGGAUAACUACUGGAAACGGUAGCUAAUACCGCAUAACGUCGCAAGACCAAAGAGGGGGACCUUCGGGCCUCUUGCCAUCGGAUGUGCCCAGAUGGGAUUAGCUAGUAGGUGGGGUAACGGCUCACCUAGGCGACGAUCCCUAGCUGGUCUGAGAGGAUGACCAGCCACACUGGAACUGAGACACGGUCCAGACUCCUACGGGAGGCAGCAGUGGGGAAUAUUGCACAAUGGGCGCAAGCCUGAUGCAGCCAUGCCGCGUGUAUGAAGAAGGCCUUCGGGUUGUAAAGUACUUUCAGCGGGGAGGAAGGCGAUAAGGUUAAUAACCUUGUCGAUUGACGUUACCCGCAGAAGAAGCACCGGCUAACUCCGUGCCAGCAGCCGCGGUAAUACGGAGGGUGCAAGCGUUAAUCGGAAUUACUGGGCGUAAAGCGCACGCAGGCGGUCUGUCAAGUCGGAUGUGAAAUCCCCGGGCUCAACCUGGGAACUGCAUUCGAAA